GACGUAGGAUGCGAGCGUUGUCCGGAUUUAUUGGGCGUAAAGAGUUCGUAGGUGGUUCGUUAAGUCUGGUGUAAAAGACUGGGGCUCAACCCUGGGAUCGCACUGGAUACUGGCGGACUUGAGUGUGGUAGAGGCAAGUGGAAUUCCCAGUGUAGCGGUGAAAUGCGUAGAUAUUGGGAAGAACACCGGUGGCGCAAGCGACUUGCUGGGCCAUAACUGACACUGAGGAACGAAAGCUAGGGGAGCGAAUGGG
RNAcentral lists this ribosomal RNA (253 nucleotides) under uncultured bacterium. RNAcentral describes it as "partial 16S ribosomal RNA". It matches the Rfam family "Bacterial small subunit ribosomal RNA", at positions 524 to 776 of the family's 1533-position model. The record is from RNAcentral.